ACGGGAGGCAGCAGUGGGGAAUAUUGGGCAAUGGGCGAAAGCCUGACCCAGCAACGCCGCGUGAGGGAAGAAGGUUUUCGGAUUGUAAACCUCUAUCGUGGAGGACAAAGGACGUGAUGGUACUCCACAAGGAAGCCCCGGCUAACUACGUGCCAGCAGCCGCGGUAAUACGUAGGGGGCGAGCGUUGUCCGGAAUGACUGGGCGUAAAGGGCGUGUAGGCGGUCUGAUAAGUUAGGAGUGAAAGUCCUGCUUUUAAGGUGGGAAUUGCUUUUAAUACUGUCGGACUAGAGUGCGGAAGAGGUAAGUGGAAUUCCCAGUGUAGCGGUGAAAUGCGUAGAGAUUGGGAGGAACACCAGUGGCGAAGGCGACUUACUGGGCCGUAACUGACGCUGAGGCGCGAAAGCGUGGGGAGCGAACAGGAUUAGAUACCCUGGUA
This 437-nucleotide ribosomal RNA is filed under the name uncultured bacterium. Its description in RNAcentral is "partial 16S ribosomal RNA". It matches the Rfam family "Bacterial small subunit ribosomal RNA", at positions 341 to 792 of the family's 1533-position model. The record is from RNAcentral.